UACCUGGCUCAGGACGAACGCUGGCGGCGUGCCUAAUACAUGCAAGUCGAGCGGAUUGAUGGGAGCUUGCUCCCUGAUAUCAGCGGCGGACGGGUGAGUAACACGUGGGCAACCUGCCUAUAAGACUGGGAUAACUUCGGGAAACCGGAGCUAAUACCGGAUAAUCCCUUUCCUCUCAUGAGGAAAGGCUGAAAGAUGGUUUACGCUAUCACUUAUAGAUGGGCCCGCGGCGCAUUAGCUAGUUGGUGAGGUAACGGCUCACCAAGGCAACGAUGCGUAGCCGACCUGAGAGGGUGAUCGGCCACACUGGGACUGAGACACGGCCCAGACUCCUACGGGAGGCAGCAGUAGGGAAUCCUCCGCAAUGGACGAAAGUCUGACGGAGCAACGCCGCGUGAGUGAUGAAGGUUUUCGGAUCGUAAAACUCUGUUGUUAGGGAAGAACAAGUACGAGAGUAACUGCUCGUACCUUGACGGUACCUAACCAGAAAGCCACGGCUAACUACGUG
RNAcentral lists this ribosomal RNA (508 nucleotides) under uncultured Bacillus sp. RNAcentral's name for it is "bacterial SSU rRNA". It matches the Rfam family "Bacterial small subunit ribosomal RNA", at positions 16 to 507 of the family's 1533-position model. Lineage: Bacteria; Bacillati; Bacillota; Bacilli; Caryophanales; Bacillaceae. The record is from RNAcentral.